CCUACGGGAGGCAGCAGUGAGGAAUAUUGGUCAAUGGGCUUACGCCUGAACCAGCCAAGUCGCGUGAGGGAAGACUGCCCUAUGGGUUGUAAACCUCUUUUGUCAGGGAGCAACGCCGGCUACGUGUAGCCGGACUGAGAGUACCUGAAGAAAAAGCAUCGGCUACCUCCGUGCCAGCAGCCGCGGUAAUACGGAGGAUGCGAGGGUUAUCCGGAUUUAUUGGGUUUAAGGGGUGCGUAGGCGGAAUGCAAGUUCGGCGGUAAAAUCGCGGGGCUAAACCUCGCUUCGCCGUUGAAACUGGCGGUCUUGAGUGGGCGAGAAGUAUGCGGAAUGCGUGGUGUAGCGGUGAAAUGCAUAGAUAUCACGCAGAACUCCGAUUGCGAAGGCAGCAUACCGGCGCCCAACUGACGCUGAAGCACGAAAGCGUGGGUAUCGAACAGGAUUAGAUACCCCUGUAGUC
RNAcentral lists this ribosomal RNA (460 nucleotides) under uncultured bacterium. Its description in RNAcentral is "partial 16S ribosomal RNA". It matches the Rfam family "Bacterial small subunit ribosomal RNA", at positions 338 to 795 of the family's 1533-position model. The record is from RNAcentral.